AGAAGAAUAACAGUGCAAUUCUCCUUUGGCAGGUGUUGCAUGUGUUCUCGCAUGAGAAUGACCUUUCUGCCAAAGGAGAAUUGCCCUGCCAUUCUAUA
This is a non-coding RNA of Glycine soja, 98 nucleotides long. The record is from Rfam. Lineage: Eukaryota; Viridiplantae; Streptophyta; Magnoliopsida; Fabales; Fabaceae.